GAAUCGGGUACAUCUGGGUUGGUGGAAACUAGGUCCGCGUGUCAAAGAAGAUCUCCGUUAUUGAGUCCCUUCUAAGCAGGCUCAGGAUAUGGGCAGCGCAUAUGACAGACGAUCAGGGAAUUUUCUUCUUAAUAGAGUACCAGACUUCUCACACGGCUAUAUGACCAAAGAUCAGGUCUCCGACCAAACUUCCCUUAGCUACUUUGAAACAACACAUUUCACACUUAAUUAAAAGGGCUUAACGAUGCCAUAGUCUGUACACGCCUGACUUAUCCCUUAUUCAGG
This 285-nucleotide long non-coding RNA is filed under the name Nicotiana benthamiana. RNAcentral's name for it is "long non-coding RNA (NBEN_LNC003741)". Lineage: Eukaryota; Viridiplantae; Streptophyta; Magnoliopsida; Solanales; Solanaceae. The record is from RNAcentral.